This 228-nucleotide long non-coding RNA is filed under the name Mytilus galloprovincialis (Mediterranean mussel). The record is from RNAcentral. Lineage: Eukaryota; Metazoa; Mollusca; Bivalvia; Mytilida; Mytilidae.
GGCGCGACGUCAAGCGUUUGGAUUCCCGCAAAACGUCACUUUUUGCGGGACGUAAUGCGUGUAAUUUUCCGUAAUAAGAAACGUAAUGUGGAUUUUCCGAUGCUCCAAUUUCUGUUUCUCCCGCAUGCUAACUUCUACACCAUUAUAUUAGUGCAUUUGAUUCUAAAAGGAUAACAGUCUAAUAAAAUCAUAAGAAAUAAAACACAUUACUGUUUCUGUGAGAUCUUC